CGUAGGGGGCAAGCGUUGUCCGGAUUUAUUGGGCGUAAAGCGCUCGCAGGCGGCUCGCUACGUCAUGCGUGAAACACCCCGGCUCAACUGGGGAGGGUCGUGUGAUACGGGCGGGCUUGAGGCCAGUAGGGGGAUGCGGAAUUCCGGGUGUAGUGGUGGAAUGCGUAGAGAUCCGGAGGAACACCAGCGGCGAAGGCGGCAUCCUGGACUGGUGCUGACGCUCAUGAGCGAAAGCGUGGGGAGCGAUCCGGAUUAGAUACCCGGGUAGUCCACGCUGUAAACGAUGCGGACUAGGUGUCGGGGGUAUCGACCCCCUCGGUGCCGCAGCUAACGCGCUAAGUCCGCCGCCUGGGGACUACGGCCGCAAGGCUA
RNAcentral lists this ribosomal RNA (372 nucleotides) under uncultured organism. Its description in RNAcentral is "bacterial SSU rRNA". It matches the Rfam family "Bacterial small subunit ribosomal RNA", at positions 526 to 896 of the family's 1533-position model. The record is from RNAcentral.